GAAGAGCUGACAAGAUGGCAAAAUGAGAAGGACACAUUUUGCUGAUGCUGCUGACUUAGAAGAUUGAGGAAUGUGUCAUGAAUCAAGGAAAACAGAGGAACUCUAGAAGUUGGAAUUUCUAGAAGCUGAAAAAUGUACCCUUGAUGUAUUUCUGCUUGGAAUAACGUUUAAGUAAUGUUGUGCCCCUCUCAGAAGAUCACAUUUGAAAGCACAUGAUGUCCAUCUGUCCCCACUGGCGAUAACAAUUUUGAAUACCCAGAGAAGAAGAUGUCUGAUUUCUCUACUGCACAAUUUACAAGUUUCCCCCACUGCAACUAUUAUGCAAUUUGCAGGAAACACUUUUAAGAUCCUCCUCCUCGACCAUAAUUAUGGACUUUUUUAACGUACAAUAUUUUCAUGCAUCCAGAAACCACAAUUAUGCAAAAAGGCAUACUCAGAGAAACAUCUCUCCAUCUCAUAUCCAUUCCACUCUGUUUCCCAUAACCUCUUCAAGGUAAAGUUCAUUGUUGUUUGGUUUUUCUUUCCUAUAUUUCUCUUUGGAGAGAGAAGCAAAUUUGAAUAUGCUUUCUUAGCCCUUCUUUUUUUUAAAAAAAACAAAACAUGACUUCAUAUAUGUGUUAGUUUACACUUUACUUUUUUUAGUUUAUAAUACCUCCUAGAAAUUCCUCUAUAUCUGUUCCUAGAUUUCUUUGUAUUCUUAAAAAGUUUUAUAAUAUUACAUAUCGUGUACAUAACCCAAUGUAUCUUCCAUUCUUGAAUAGUUUCCAAUAUUUUCCAGUGAUAAAUUAUGCUCCAGUGACUAACUUUGUGCAUAUGUAUUUUUCUAUUUAUGGAGAUGUAUCUUCAGGGUAUAUUCUUAGAAGUGGGAUUGCUGAGUUGAAAGGUAGAUGCAUAUGUAGUUUCAUUAAAUAUUGCCAAACGCCUCUCCAUAGGGGUUGUAGCAAUCUGCAGCCACACUAACAGUGAAUGAGGCUUUAUGUUCCCCCCUGUUUUCACCCACAGUGAACUGUCAAGCUUUUGAAUCAUUGCCAAUUUGAUGAGUUAUGGUAUUCUGUUUACAGAAACUUUGUGAAGCAAGGAUUAUUAUCUUUACAGUAUAGGUAAAGAAUGAGAGCUGCAAAGAGAUUCUGUAACUUUCUAAGGUUCAGCGAUAAGUCAUUGGUGGAACCCAGAUUCAAACCCAUGUAAUUUUUCAAGAGGAAAUUGAAGAUUUAUCUUUUUCAAAAUUUACCCAGGAAAGUAGACUUGAUGGUUCGUGGUUGUAGUUCAUGUCACUAUACAUGAAAAACAAAGACACUGGUUUCUAAGGCAAUAAUAAGAAGUCAUUCUCCGUAUGUCAAACAUUAUAAAAACCUGUAAUUUAAGGGGAUAAAGCAGAGGCCUGGAGGAGAAUAACAGAAUCUUAAGAAAAGUAAAAGUAGGUUGACCAUAUAAUUGUCCAUCCAUGAUCAUUUUGAGAGUAAAAGAACACUAAUAUUUAGAAUGAUAUUUACACAAUUCUAAGAUUUUGAAACAUUUGUUGAGAAACAAAUUUGGUUUUUAUAUUGAUGGACAUAUAAAAGAAUUCUAUUCAACAACUAUUUUCAAAAAUAAAAUUAUUUCUAAAAUAUAAAAAGUAUAAACUCAUAUUUUAUAAAAAAUGAAAAAUUCUUUACUGAUUAACUGAGUAUUAAAAGUAACAGCAGUAUAAUUAAUUUUUGGCUAAAAUGUAUUCAUGUACAUUAUAAGUAUCAUAACUUAUAAAAUGUCUCUAAUAUCAUGUCAAAGGUAUUUUUCUAAAGAAAUUAUUUUUAACCUGACAUUUUAAUUCUAUAUUUCACAAAAUUGCCUGCAUUAUUCUUAUUGUAUCAAAUGGUUAAUAAAUUUGAAAUUGUUGACGCUUUCAAUUGACCACUCUCUAAAUAUUUCUAAAUGACAAAACAGUAAGCUCUGAAAAAAAUCAGCCACGUAGCAAAAUUCUUCAUAAUAAUUCUUUGUCUUGAAAUGUGUAAAUAUUUUGGUGCAAAUGUUUUCAUAGAUAUUUUCAUUGCCUUCGUUCAGACUAACUUUCCUAAUCAAAUAUUUUUACAGUACAAAACUCACAAAUGUGUUAUCUCUGUUUAUGGUUCAUUUGAGUAUUUUACUAAGUGUAGGUGCUCCAAAGUAAAAGAUUUCAAUUUCAUUCUCUUCUUGUACAGAAGAUAAAGGAGGCUUCCUACAAGUUGAAAUAUCCCACAGCUCACUUAUGAAAUUGUGCUCUUAUUGAUUAAUUUGUUCCCUUUCUCCCUUGCUUUUAUGUGAACCAAUUAUAUUGCUUUUCUGUUUCAAACAUUUGUUUCAAUAAUUCGAAGUGGCUAAAUCUUCACUUUCUAUUCUAUUCACAUUCUAUUUGUUGAAUAUUUUAAUUAAAGACUUUCUAUUGAUUUUAACAAAAUGUAGUCAAUAUGUUGGAGAAUUAAUUAUGUCCCCAAAUCUAAUUCCACUGUAGGACACGUGGACUGAUUUUAAAAAGUGGUUAUUUAAAGGUUCAAAAAUUCUAAAAUCCAGUUGAGAUAAAA
Molecule: long non-coding RNA, 2537 nt
Organism: Equus caballus (horse)
Lineage: Eukaryota; Metazoa; Chordata; Mammalia; Perissodactyla; Equidae
Source: Ensembl